GGCGGACGGGUGAGUAAUGCUUAGGAAUCUGCCUAUUAGUGGGGGACAACGUUCCGAAAGGAACGCUAAUACCGCAUACGCCCUACGGGGGAAAGCAGGGGAUCUUCGGACCUUGCGCUAAUAGAUGAGCCUAAGUCGGAUUAGCUAGUUGGUGGGGUAAAGGCCUACCAAGGCGACGAUCUGUAGCGGGUCUGAGAGGAUGAUCCGCCACACUGGGACUGAGACACGGCCCAGACUCCUACGGGAGGCAGCAGUGGGGAAUAUUGGACAAUGGGCGCAAGCCUGAUCCAGCCAUGCCGCGUGUGUGAAGAAGGCCUUUUGGUUGUAAAGCACUUUAAGCGAGGAGGAGGCUCCUUUAGUUAAUACCUAAAGUGAGUGGACGUUACUCGCAGAAUAAGCACCGGCUAACUCUGUGCCAGCAGCCGCGGUAAUACAGAGGGUGCGAGCGUUAAUCGGAUUUACUGGGCGUAAAGCGUGCGUAGGCGGCUUUUUAAGUCGGAUGUGAAAUCCCUGAGCUUAACUUAGGAAUUGCAUUUGAUACUGGAAAGCUAGAGUAUGGGAGAGGAUGGUAGAAUUCCAGGUGUAGCGGUGAAAUGCGUAGGGAUCUGGAGGAAUACCGAUGGCGAAGGCAGCCAUCUGGCCUAAUACUGACGCUGAGGUACGAAAGCAUAGGGAGCAAACAGGAUUAGAUACCCUGGUAGUCCAUGCCGUAAACGAUGUCUACUAGCCGUUGGGGCCUUUGAGGCUUUAGUGGCGCAGCUAACGCGAUAAGUAGACC
Molecule: ribosomal RNA, 778 nt
Filed under: uncultured bacterium
Lineage: Bacteria
Description: bacterial SSU rRNA
Rfam family: Bacterial small subunit ribosomal RNA
Source: RNAcentral